GAUCACAAAGUAACUGAUGCAAUUCAAGGAAUAAUAUCAUCAUCUUAAUUUUCCUUUAUUUUGUAAAAUUUGUCAUUGCAUCAUUAUACUUUUUUUUUGGAGUGAGUCUAUUAUUUAAUUAUCCCUGUUAAAGAUAUAGUUAGUUACUAAUUAGGAGGAUUAGUUAGUAGUUUCUUGAUGCCUAUAUAUAGGCUUUGAUGUAAUCUUUUACACUCACUUUUUCUCAUUUUGUAAUAUUUUUCUUCAUCAAUAUUAUAUACUUUUGAGCUAUUUUCUCUCUUCUCCCAUGGAUGCCAUGUUUCUUAACAUGGUAUUAGAGCAAAAAUGGUAUCCACCUUAGAGAAAUAUUCCGCUGCAAUUUUCUCGAGAAAAUUUUAUUUUUUCUCAAUCUUCAUUUUCCAUUGCCCUUUCUGUUCUAUUUUUCCUGAGAAAUUCAUUUUCUAGCACUGUUCAUUUUCCAUCUUAGAAAAUCACUUUUCUCCUCUUUCAAUUUCGAUUUUGUUUACUGAUUUUCUUAUUCCGGUCCAUUUUUUCUUGUUCGAAUUCUUGAUCGAUCAAAUUUUCAGCCUAUGAAUCUUUCAAUUUCUUGUUGAGUUUGUUUCUUUUCCGAUCAAUUUCCGUUCCUUCUUCAUUUUGCGAUUUCUCCUCAAUCGCAAUUUUUCAUCCUUUUCCCCAAAUUCUAGGGUUCGCGAUUUCAAUUUUAAUCGCAUUUCAGUUCACUGAAUCAUUCAUUUCCGCUUCCGAUCUCAUCAUGACUAUGUCUGGUACUGUGAUAUUUGAUAAUUGCUUGGUAUGACGCAUCAUAGAGGAUGCGAUUUGAUUCAAAGUGACGGAGGUUUCAAUUCGACGAUUCUUGGAAGAAUUCGUGUUGAUUGUUAUUCUCUUGGAGUGUUAUUUUCUGCGUUAACAUGCAGAGGUUCGGAGUUUAGAUUGCUCUUGGUGGUGAUCUUUGCCUCUGUUUUCUCCAUCACCUUCAUUGCUUUGAGCCCUACAACAAGUUACUGCUAGAGUAUGGAAUUAAUUUGAUUUGGUUUAGUGGAGCAUUUCUCACACCUAUUGUAUGUUGGAGGAAUUCUUUGGGAUUUUAGUAGCACAAAGUUCUGUUAUUGUUGUUGGCCUUUGCAGUUUGUGAGUGGCUUAUUGGACUUGCUACUGGUUUUGCCUCUGAUUUUGAAGAUUAAAGGCUGGUUUGAGUUCUUUAAUCUACUCUUUGUUGCCCUGUUUUAGGCAGGUGCUUAGCCAUAUUGGCUUUGUUGCAUUUAUGCUAUCUCUUGAGCAGGUUGUAUUUGCUUGCUUUGUCAAGUGGUUAGUUGGUUUUUUUUAUGUGCUAUCUCAUCUUGAGCACAACAUUGGUAUUGAUGCUUUACUCUCUAGCCAUCAACCACGCUACUUGAUCUUUCUCCUUGAUUUGUUGGUCCUUAGAUGAGCUAAUUACCUUUAGCACAACUUGAGUAUUGAUGCUUCACUUUGUAGACAUCGGACCCUUUUGACA
This is a long non-coding RNA of Trifolium pratense (red clover), 1492 nucleotides long. RefSeq lists it as uncharacterized. NCBI's taxonomy places the organism in Eukaryota, Viridiplantae, Streptophyta, Magnoliopsida, Fabales, Fabaceae. The transcript is spliced from 2 exons. The record is from RefSeq and is a predicted model, not a curated record.